AAAAAAGUAACAUUUCUAAGGUAUGUGCAUGGAUAAACUGAGUUAUGUAUCAAAAAUAUGGUGUCAUAUCCUAAUUUUUAACCCUAAGAUCCCACAUAUCAUUUACAUCCUUGCAUAUAAACAAGGUCACAUCUUUGUCCUCUCCCUCUCAUUUUUGGGUUUGCCUUUUGUAGGGAUCAUCAAGCACCUUUUUGUUGGUGUUUUACCUUUGUGUUUAUCUGUUCAUUGCUUAUCUAACCACUAAUUAAAAUAUAAAAAA
Molecule: long non-coding RNA, 259 nt
Filed under: Lathyrus oleraceus (garden pea)
Lineage: Eukaryota; Viridiplantae; Streptophyta; Magnoliopsida; Fabales; Fabaceae
Description: Pisum sativum (pea) long non-coding RNA (PSAT_LNC016964)
Source: RNAcentral